AUUGUUCAACGGCCGCGGUAUCCUAACCGUGCGAAGGUAGCGUAAUCACUUGUCCUUUAAAUGAGGACUAGUAUGAACGGCUUCACGAAAACUAUACUGUCUCCUUUAUCCAAUCAGUUAAACUAAUCCCCCCGUGAAGAAGCGGGGAUAUCCAUAUAAGACGAGAAGACCCUAUGGAGCUUUAAAUAUCUCUAGACAUUUGAAUAUACACGACCCUUAAAACCACUAAAUUCAUCAUUUUGUCUUAAAUUUUAGGUUGGGGCGACCACGGAGAAAAACCCAACCUCCACGUGGAAAGAAACUCCCUUCUAAGCAAAAAGCUACAUCUUUAUGCAUCAACACAUUGACCUUAAUUGACCCAAUUGCUUGAUCAACGAACCAAGUUACCCUAGGGAUAACAGCGCAAUCCGCUUUGAGAGCCCCUAUCGACAAGCGGGCUUACGACCUCGAUGUUGGAUCAGGGCAUCCCAGUGGUGCAGCAGCUACUAAAGGUUCGUUUGUUCAACGAUUAAAGCCCUACGUGAUCUGAGUUCAGAC
Molecule: ribosomal RNA, 537 nt
Filed under: Allobates masniger
Lineage: Eukaryota; Metazoa; Chordata; Amphibia; Anura; Aromobatidae
Description: partial 16S ribosomal RNA
Rfam family: Bacterial large subunit ribosomal RNA
Source: RNAcentral